This 253-nucleotide ribosomal RNA is filed under the name uncultured bacterium. Its description in RNAcentral is "partial 16S ribosomal RNA". It matches the Rfam family "Bacterial small subunit ribosomal RNA", at positions 524 to 776 of the family's 1533-position model. The record is from RNAcentral.
UACGAAGGGGGCGAGCGUUGUUCGGAUUUACUGGGCGUAAAGGGCUCGUAGGCGGCCAACUAAGUCGGACGUGAAAUCCCCAGGCUCAACCUGGGAACUGCGUCCGAUACUGGAUGGCUUGAAUCCGGGAGAGGGAUGCAGAAUUCCAGGUGUAGCGGUGAAAUGCGUAGAUAUCUGGAGGAAUACCGGUGGCGAAGGCGGCAUCCUGGACCGGCAUUGACGCUGAGGAGCGAAAGCCAGGGGAGCAAACGGG